Molecule: ribosomal RNA, 1270 nt
Filed under: metagenome
Description: SSU rRNA
Rfam family: Eukaryotic small subunit ribosomal RNA
Source: RNAcentral
AAUCCCUUAACGAGGAACAAUUGGAGGGCAAGUCUGGUGCCAGCAGCCGCGGUAAUUCCAGCUCCAAUAGCGUAUAUUAAAGUUGUUGCAGUUAAAAAGCUCGUAGUUGAACUUCAGACCUGGCUGGGCGGUCUGCCUCGCGGUAUGUACUGUCCGGCUGGGCCUUACCUCUUGGUGAGCCGGCGUGCCCUUUAUUGGUGUGCGUCGGGGAACCAGGACUUUUACCUUGAGAAAAUUAGAGUGUUCAAAGCAGGCCUAUGCCUGAAUACAUUAGCAUGGAAUAAUAAAAUAGGACGUGCGGUUCUAUUUUGUUGGUUUCUAGAGUCGCCGUAAUGAUUAAUAGGGAUAGUUGGGGGCAUUGGUAUUGAGUCGCUAGAGGUGAAAUUCUUGGAUUGACUCAAGACCAACUACUGCGAAAGCAUUUGCCAAGGAUGUUUUCAUUAAUCAAGAACGGAGGUUAGGGGAUCGAAAACGAUCAGAUACCGUUGUAGUCUUAACAGUAAACUAUGCCGACUAGGGAUCGGGCGACCUCACAAUGAUGUGUCGCUCGGCACCUUACGAGAAAUCAAAGCCUUUGGGUUCUGGGGGGAGUAUGGUCGCAAGGCUGAAACUUAAAGGAAUUGACGGAAGGGCACCACCAGGUGUGGAGCCUGCGGCUUAAUUUGACCCAACACGGGGAAACUCACCAGGUCCAGACAUAACUAGGAUUGUCAGAUUGAUAGCUCUUUCAUGAUUUUAUGGGUGGUGGUGCAUGGCCGUUCUUAGUUGGUGGAGUGAUUUGUCUGGUUAAUUCCGAUAACGAACGAGACCUUAACCUGCUAAAUAGCCAGGCCGGCUUUGGCUGGUCGCCGGCUUCUUAGAGGGACUGUCAGUGUCUAACUGACGGAAGUUUGAGGCAAUAACAGGUCUGUGAUGCCCUUAGAUGUUCUGGGCCGCACGCGCGCUACACUGACAGAGCCAGCGAGUAUACACCUUGGCCGGAAGGUUUGGGUAAUCUUGUGAAACUCUGUCGUGCUGGGGAUAGAGCAUUGCAAUCAUUGCUCUUCAACGAGGAAUACCUAGUAAGCGUGAGUCAUCAGCUCGCGUUGAUUACGUCCCUGCCCUUUGUACACACCGCCCGUCGCUACUACCGAUUGAAUGGCUUAGUGAGGUCUCCGGAUUAGCUUUGGGGAGCCGGAAACGGCACCUUAUCGCUGAGAAGCUGAUCAAACUUGGUCAUUUAGAGGAAGUAAAAGUCGUAACAAGGUUUCCGUAGGUGAACCUGCGGAAG